AGACAUCUGUUCCUCAAACACAAUUCAUAACAUUGUGUUCGUUUUCAGAAUGUCUUAGAAUAAAAAUAGAGCUGCUUCACCCAGAAUUGUAUUAAAAAUUACACUGUUUGGUUUUGCGGGUUCUAACAAUU
This is a small nucleolar RNA of Chelonus insularis, 131 nucleotides long. RefSeq annotates it as small nucleolar RNA SNORA79. The transcript has a single exon. Lineage: Eukaryota; Metazoa; Arthropoda; Insecta; Hymenoptera; Braconidae. The record is from RefSeq and is a predicted model, not a curated record.